Molecule: ribosomal RNA, 797 nt
Filed under: Frankliniella occidentalis (western flower thrips)
Lineage: Eukaryota; Metazoa; Arthropoda; Insecta; Thysanoptera; Thripidae
Description: eukaryotic LSU rRNA
Rfam family: Eukaryotic large subunit ribosomal RNA
Source: RNAcentral
GACCUCAGUUCAGGUGAGAUUACCGGCUGAAUUUAAGCAUAUUACUAAGCCGAGGAAAAGAAACUAACAAGGAUUCCCCUAGUAGCAGCGAGCGAACAGGGAAGAGCCCAGCGCUGAAUCCCCCGGGCCUCGCUCGGCGGGAAAUGUAGCGUUUGGGAGGGCCCGUCAACACGGCGACUCGCUCACUGGUUCAAGUCCAACUUGAAUGGGGCCACACAGAGGGUGACAGGCCCGUAGAGCAGGAGCGGUUGUCGUGUGGGUCUCUCCUUAGAGUCGGUUUGCUUGAGAGUGCAGACUUAAGUGGGUGGUAAACUCCAUCUAAGGCUAAAUAUGACCACGAGACCGAUAGCACACAAGUACCGUGAGGGAAAGGUGAAAAGAACUUUGAAGAGAGAGUUCAAGAGUACGUGAAACUGAAGUGGUGUAAACGGACGAGUUCGAAAAGUCCGAAUGGUGAGAUUCAAGCUUACCGUGCCGGUGGCCCUCGGGUUCAGAUGGCGUCGUCAGCUCGGGCUUCGGUUCGGGUCAUACGGCGUCACUCGUCCUGGGGGUAUCUGUCUGGUGCGGUGGGCUGCACUUCUCGCCUAGUAGGACGUCGCGACCCGUUGGGAUGUUCCGUUCACUGGCCCUCGGUGGAGCCCGCGCCGGAGCGUGGCCUUGUGCCGCGUUGCUGUUUGCACGGACCCGGGGUGACCUGAUCGGCGCCCGACGGUAUCAAAGCUUGGGAAGAGGCCGCACAGAGGAUGCGUUCGAUGGCCGUUUCGGCCUACACUCGGACAGGCCUGCACCCGGUCAGC